AGAUCUACACUCGUCAAAAAUAUUUAAAUUUGGCGCGCCAGCUGGCGAAUGCUCAUUGGCUCUCGCGCACUUCCUCAACGGUUGUUCGUUGCGUUUGAAUAACAAGCGCGCCUUCACAAAGUGACUCAGGAUUUACAGCGUACGAUUUUAAUUCUACUCUGAACUUCACGCAGAAUUAUUGAACUUUGCCAGAGUCAGGACUCACCUGGAAACACUGUCCUGGGAGAAAGAAAGUGUAAAGUUCAUACACAGCAGAGGAAGGAUGAAACCGGAGUUUUGCCAUGAAGACAAACGGACUGUUGAGAAGCAGGUGCAUUAUGGGAUUGUACGUGAAGAUGAUCUGGAAGAAGACCGUUGAUAAAUCUGGAAAGUUCCAUUGUUUCAGUGAAAGGUCGAGUCCAAUCACUUCUGCAGAAGAAUGACGAAACAGUGGAAAAUAUUGAGGAUUUAUCAUGGAGCACAGAAGGGGCACGCGCGUUGAUUCGAGUCGCCAGUGUUGUUGUUGUUAGACUGCAGGACUGGACAAUGAAGUCUUCAGCAAAUGCACUCACCAAGUUUUUUCGACCAGAUGUAUCUAUAGCCUAUUGCUAGUACUAGACUAGUGAUUUAGUUUUAAAAUAAUUUACAUUUUGCAGUUAGAAAGUAUUGUUCGAUCGGUCAGGCCAACUUUUCUUUGAAUUUAUCUCUCUCUGUUGUAAAAAUCUCCAAAAUGGCAUUCAAAUUUAACAAGUGAUCAGGUUUUUUUUUUUUUUUUUUAUGAAAAAGUUUGAAACUGCAUCAAAGCUAAAUUGCGUGUUUCAUAAUUAGCUGGGACAAAAGUAUUGAGUCAAACUAA
Long non-coding RNA from Carassius carassius (crucian carp), 835 nucleotides. RefSeq lists it as uncharacterized. The transcript is spliced from 2 exons. NCBI's taxonomy places the organism in Eukaryota, Metazoa, Chordata, Actinopteri, Cypriniformes, Cyprinidae. The record is from RefSeq and is a predicted model, not a curated record.